Molecule: unclassified non-coding RNA, 235 nt
Filed under: Hevea brasiliensis (rubber tree)
Lineage: Eukaryota; Viridiplantae; Streptophyta; Magnoliopsida; Malpighiales; Euphorbiaceae
Source: RNAcentral
AAGGGAUGAGAAACAAAUUCUCAAGAAGGAAGACAAACAAAUUCUCAAAAAGGAAGGGACAAAUUCUUAAAUUUUUAUUAAUUCUCAACAAUAACAUCAUAAUAAACUCUCCUCUAAAAUACCUAAAACAUAUAAGUAUUUAUAGUACAUCAACUAGUCCUAAUACUAGGAUUUGAAAUUCUUUUAAAAGAAAACCCUAAAAAAAUACUAAUUAGGAAUCAUAAAUCAACACAAA